RNAcentral lists this ribosomal RNA (495 nucleotides) under uncultured bacterium. RNAcentral's name for it is "partial 16S ribosomal RNA". It matches the Rfam family "Bacterial small subunit ribosomal RNA", at positions 30 to 523 of the family's 1533-position model. The record is from RNAcentral.
AUUGAACGCUGGCGGAAUGCUUUACACAUGCAAGUCGAACGGUAGAGGGGGCAACCCCUCGAGAGUGGCGAACGGGUGAGUAAUAUAUCGGAACGUGCCCAGUCGUGGGGGAUAACGUAGCGAAAGUUACGCUAAUACCGCAUACGAUCUUAGGAUGAAAGCGGGGGAUCGCAAGAACUCGCGCGAUUGGAGCGGCCGAUAUCAGAUUAGGUAGUUGGUGGGGUAAAGGCUCACCAAGCCAACGAUCGUGAGCUGGUCUGAAAGGACGACCAGCCACACUGGAACUGAGACACGGUCCAGACUCCUACGGGAGGCAGCAGUGGGGAAUUUUGGACAAUGGACGCAAGUCUGAUCCAGCCAUUCCGCGUGCAGGAUGAAGGCCCUCGGGUUGUAAACUGCUUUUGUACGGAACGAAAAGGUCUCUCUUAAUACGGGGGCUCAUGACGGUACCGUAAGAAUAAGCACCGGCUAACUACGUGCCAGCCGCCGCCGUAA